This 496-nucleotide ribosomal RNA is filed under the name uncultured bacterium. RNAcentral describes it as "partial 16S ribosomal RNA". It matches the Rfam family "Bacterial small subunit ribosomal RNA", at positions 29 to 507 of the family's 1533-position model. The record is from RNAcentral.
AUGAACGCUGGCGGCGUGCCUAAUACAUGCAAGUCGAGCGAACAGACGAGGGGCUUGCUCCUCUGACGUUAGCGGCGGACGGGUGAGUAACACGUGGAUAACCUACCUAUAAGACUGGGAUAACUUCGGGAAACCGGAGCUAAUACCGGAUAAUAUAUUGAACCGCAUGGUUCAAUAGUGAAAGACGGUUUUGCUGUCACUUAUAGAUGGAUCCGCGCCGCAUUAGCUAGUUGGUAAGGUAACGGCUUACCAAGGCAACGAUGCGUAGCCGACCUGAGAGGGUGAUCGGCCACACUGGAACUGAGACACGGUCCAGACUCCUACGGGAGGCAGCAGUAGGGAAUCUUCCGCAAUGGGCGAAAGCUUGACGGAGCAACGCCGCGUGAGUGAUGAAGGUCUUCGGAUCGUAAAACUCUGUUAUUAGGGAAGAACAAAUGUGUAAGUAACUAUGCACGUCUUGACGGUACCUAAUCAGAAAGCCACGGCUAACUACGUG